UACAGAGGUCUCAAGCGUUGUUCGGAUUCAUUGGGCGUAAAGGGGUGCGUAGGUGGCGCCGUAAGUCAGGUGUGAAAUUUCGGAGCUUAACUCCGAAACUGCAUUUGAUAACUGCGGUGCUUGAGGACUGGAGAGGAGACUGGAAUUUACGGUGUAGCAGUGAAAUGCGUAGAGAUCGAUAAGGAAGACCAGUGGCGAAGGCGG
This 204-nucleotide ribosomal RNA is filed under the name uncultured bacterium. RNAcentral describes it as "partial 16S ribosomal RNA". It matches the Rfam family "Bacterial small subunit ribosomal RNA", at positions 524 to 724 of the family's 1533-position model. The record is from RNAcentral.